Molecule: microRNA precursor, 65 nt
Organism: Chlorocebus sabaeus (green monkey)
Lineage: Eukaryota; Metazoa; Chordata; Mammalia; Primates; Cercopithecidae
Source: Ensembl
GAGGGGUAUGUGGGGGGCUUGAAGCCAGGGGAUGCCUCACGUCUUUACCCCUCUCACCUAAGCAG